Molecule: ribosomal RNA, 1442 nt
Filed under: unidentified
Description: bacterial SSU rRNA
Rfam family: Bacterial small subunit ribosomal RNA
Source: RNAcentral
ACAUGGCUCAGGACGAACGCUGGCGGCGUGCCUAAUACAUGCAAGUCGAACGAACUCUGGUAUUGAUUGGUGCUUGCAUCAUGAUUUACAUUUGAGUGAGUGGCGAACUGGUGAGUAACACGUGGGAAACCUGCCCAGAAGCGGGGGAUAACACCUGGAAACAGAUGCUAAUACCGCAUAACAACUUGGACCGCAUGGUCCGAGUUUGAAAGAUGGCUUCGGCUAUCACUUUUGGAUGGUCCCGCGGCGUAUUAGCUAGAUGGUGGGGUAACGGCUCACCAUGGCAAUGAUACGUAGCCGACCUGAGAGGGUAAUCGGCCACAUUGGGACUGAGACACGGCCCAAACUCCUACGGGAGGCAGCAGUAGGGAAUCUUCCACAAUGGACGAAAGUCUGAUGGAGCAACGCCGCGUGAGUGAAGAAGGGUUUCGGCUCGUAAAACUCUGUUGUUAAAGAAGAACAUAUCUGAGAGUAACUGUUCAGGUAUUGACGGUAUUUAACCAGAAAGCCACGGCUAACUACGUGCCAGCAGCCGCGGUAAUACGUAGGUGGCAAGCGUUGUCCGGAUUUAUUGGGCGUAAAGCGAGCGCAGGCGGUUUUUUAAGUCUGAUGUGAAAGCCUUCGGCUCAACCGAAGAAGUGCAUCGGAAACUGGGAAACUUGAGUGCAGAAGAGGACAGUGGAACUCCAUGUGUAGCGGUGAAAUGCGUAGAUAUAUGGAAGAACACCAGUGGCGAAGGCGGCUGUCUGGUCUGUAACUGACGCUGAGGCUCGAAAGUAUGGGUAGCAAACAGGAUUAGAUACCCUGGUAGUCCAUACCGUAAACGAUGAAUGCUAAGUGUUGGAGGGUUUCCGCCCUUCAGUGCUGCAGCUAACGCAUUAAGCAUUCCGCCUGGGGAGUACGGCCGCAAGGCUGAAACUCAAAGGAAUUGACGGGGGCCCGCACAAGCGGUGGAGCAUGUGGUUUAAUUCGAAGCUACGCGAAGAACCUUACCAGGUCUUGACAUACUAUGCAAAUCUAAGAGAUUAGACGUUCCCUUCGGGGACAUGGAUACAGGUGGUGCAUGGUUGUCGUCAGCUCGUGUCGUGAGAUGUUGGGUUAAGUCCCGCAACGAGCGCAACCCUUAUUAUCAGUUGCCAGCAUUAAGUUGGGCACUCUGGUGAGACUGCCGGUGACAAACCGGAGGAAGGUGGGGAUGACGUCAAAUCAUCAUGCCCCUUAUGACCUGGGCUACACACGUGCUACAAUGGAUGGUACAACGAGUUGCGAACUCGCGAGAGUAAGCUAAUCUCUUAAAGCCAUUCUCAGUUCGGAUUGUAGGCUGCAACUCGCCUACAUGAAGUCGGAAUCGCUAGUAAUCGCGGAUCAGCAUGCCGCGGUGAAUACGUUCCCGGGCCUUGUACACACCGCCCGUCACACCAUGAGAGUUUGUAACACCCAAA